CACCCUCUUCACGCUGAAAUUUACAGGAAAAAAACAGGGAAAAACAUCUACGGGUUGCCCAACAUUGUGUCUUAACUCCACCCCAAAAGUGACUCAAGGAGAAUAGAUUUGCCCAAGUCCUAUAUAUAUAGCUCAAAUAUCUAAUUUCAAAUAAAUGUAGGACAACAGCUAUGUUAUGAUCUACUUCAUGGAAUUAAAAAUAAUUAAGCUAAAUGGCGAAAAAUGAUUCAUAUAGUUCAUCACAACUAGUUUGAGAUUAACUUAGUCGCUGUACAAUUGGAAAAGUUGCAAGUGAAAUAAUGAAAAAUAAACCAAAAUUUCAAAUUCAUGGGAGGUGUCUACCUUGCAAUGAAUAAAUUCAAACAAUAACAUGCCCUUCCAUUGGCAAUUUGUAAUAUAUCAAAGCAAUGGCAAGUUUUAAAGUAAAUGUCUAACUUGAAAAAAGAACACAGAAAGCUCACGUUCAUUUCAUCUCUAAGGAAGUGGGAAUAAUAUGCACACAUUAUUUCAUGGUGGACCAACAAGAAGAUCUGCUGCGUGCAAUGAAAAAUUAAAAAGACAACUCAACCAAAUUCAUAUGCAAUUUUGAAAAGAAAGGUCAACUCCACUUCACAAAGUUGGCUGCUAACAAAAAUUAACAAUAAAAAUAGUGAAACAAAAUAUUUGCCAUAUUUCAAACUCGUAUCUUUAAAGCAAGUGAUUAGCUUGAUCUCACCAUUAGGUAAAGGCAACAAAUUUGAAAAGACGGCUCAUGUGGCUAAUUCAACAACUCUUUUUUAUUGGUUGAUCAAAAGAGAGCUAAUGGAGAACACCAAGAAGGUAGAGCAUGGGAAGACAGCAUUUGCUAGUGCAAAGUGGGGCGACAGAAAGCGACCUAAGUGGUACAUACAGAUACACACACGUUAGACAAUGAGUAUUGCCAAAUCCAAAACAGGAUGGGAGUUUUAUGCAUAUAGUAAGUUUUCUUACUAAAAAGGCAAAAUCAAGGGGCAAAGGCAUUAAGGCAAUGAAGGAAGCCUGUGGGGAAAAAGCUUGAGAAAACAAUUGGGGGAAUAUGUAGCAAUCCUUGCCGUGUUUGCUUCUACUAAAAACAUUCAAAUCAUUACCCAGGUCUACAUUGAUCCCAAUAAUAUAUCAGUAUGGUAUAUAAUGUAGGCCCAUUCCCCACAUGGCAUUCCACUCUUGUUAACUGCAAAUUAAAUCUUCAUAAUUGUUAGCUGAUUUGGUAUUCAAUAAAAGUAUGAUUUCAGCUAUCACACGGGUUUGAUUUGCUUAUCAUUGAAGAUCCCAUUAACAAGUAUAAUUAUAAUACAUUUAAUUAAGGAAAUUAUCUCCCUCGACUUCAGCUCAUACACCAAGCAAAUGCAGAAUUCACAUAGUAUGUUCAAGAAUUUGAUACUUACUAAACCGUAAAUCUUUAAGCUUGUUAUUGUCUGAGCUUUUUUUGUUUGCUGCCACCAAUUUGAGACACCACAUUUGUCGCAUAAGAAAAUUGCAAAAGCAGGCUGCACUUUCCACUGGUAAUUUUCCAAGGCAUGAGAGGCCGCCAAGUUUUCCCAUCAAGAAUCACUAACUUAAGCAUGGUUUGAACUGCAGUGAUUGUUCCAUUGUGAAAGUGUAGAGA
RNAcentral lists this unclassified non-coding RNA (1624 nucleotides) under Hevea brasiliensis (rubber tree). Lineage: Eukaryota; Viridiplantae; Streptophyta; Magnoliopsida; Malpighiales; Euphorbiaceae. The record is from RNAcentral.